UCACUCUGUCUCUCUCUCUCUUCCUCGGCCGCACACUUAAUUCUCUCCUCCCUCCUUUCCACUUCUCUCUGCCAUCAUCGGAGACCACCACUUCCGGCCACCAAUUCACAACACCGCUACCGCCAAUCAAUUCUGGACCCAAUUCCGAUCAAAACCCAAGAAGAUCACUGCCAUCCACCGCCGCCAGCCUCAUCACGCGACCAUCAAAGUCGCGACGGCGCUGCUCCAUAGCUCUCAUCAAGUUUCCGCCAUUUCCUCAACACCCCCCAUCAGCGUGCGCAGAGCAAGCCGGACAUCAAAAUACAGAAGCCUCGCCGCCGGCCGUACCUCGAAGGACCCCGCACGUUCCAUCGCCGGAAUCCUAGGACCCUGGGUUUCUCCGGUCUUCCUUCUCCAAAUCGAAUCGAGCUCCAAUAUCUCCAAGAAUGGAGUCAGUGCCUCUCCUUUUAUGAAAACCAAGGGCCCGACUUCUGAUUUCAACCAGAGCCACCGCGGACGCCGCGGGAUUAUCCCCUUCG
Molecule: long non-coding RNA, 518 nt
Filed under: Rosa chinensis
Lineage: Eukaryota; Viridiplantae; Streptophyta; Magnoliopsida; Rosales; Rosaceae
Description: sRNA RchiOBHm_Chr5g0030121
Source: RNAcentral